Molecule: ribosomal RNA, 301 nt
Filed under: uncultured bacterium
Lineage: Bacteria
Description: partial 16S ribosomal RNA
Rfam family: Bacterial small subunit ribosomal RNA
Source: RNAcentral
CAGUAGCCGCGGGAAUACGUAGGGUGCGAGCGUUAAUCGGAAUUACUGGGCGUAAAGCGUGCGCAGGCGGUUCGUUAAGACAGAUGUGAAAUCCCCGGGCUUAACCUGGGAACUGCAUUUGUGACUGGCGAGCUAGAGUAUGGCAGAGGGGGGUAGAAUUCCACGUGUAGCAGUGAAAUGCGUAGAGAUGUGGAGGAAUACCGAUGGCGAAGGCAGUCCCCUGGGCCAAUACUGACGCUCAUGCACGAAAGCGUGGGGAGCAAACAGGAUUAGAUACCCCCGUAGUCCCUGUCUCUUAUAC